AUUGAACGCUGGCGGCAUGCCUUACACAUGCAAGUCGAACGGCAGCACGGGAGCAAUCCUGGUGGCGAGUGGCGAACGGGUGAGUAAUAUAUCGGAACGUGCCCAGUCGUGGGGGAUAACGUAGCGAAAGCUACGCUAAUACCGCAUACGAUCUAUGGAUGAAAGCGGGGGAUCGCAAGACCUCGCGCGAUUGGAGCGGCCGAUAUCAGAUUAGGUAGUUGGUGAGGUAAAGGCUCACCAAGCCGACGAUCUGUAGCUGGUCUGAGAGGAUGAUCAGCCACACUGGGACUGAGACACGGCCCAGACUCCUACGGGAGGCAGCAGUGGGGAAUAUUGGACAAUGGGCGAAAGCCUGAUCCAGCAAUGCCGCGUGAGUGAUGAAGGCCUCGG
This 390-nucleotide ribosomal RNA is filed under the name uncultured bacterium. RNAcentral's name for it is "bacterial SSU rRNA". It matches the Rfam family "Bacterial small subunit ribosomal RNA", at positions 30 to 420 of the family's 1533-position model. The record is from RNAcentral.